This 1463-nucleotide long non-coding RNA is filed under the name Solanum tuberosum (potato). Its description in RNAcentral is "long non-coding RNA (STUB_LNC004706)". The record is from RNAcentral. Lineage: Eukaryota; Viridiplantae; Streptophyta; Magnoliopsida; Solanales; Solanaceae.
UUCUUCUCAAGCUUGAUUUGGGAAGUUCAGCACAGUAAUUUAAGAAUUUGGCAUGACUCGUAGUAGAGCUAGUUGCUUUGUGUUUUAUCAACAUUCUGCAUCAAAUCCAAUAUUUCAUGAGAAGACUAAGCACAUUGAGAUUGACUGUCAAUUUUGUCAAGUCGACUGAUCAACUUGCAAAUAUCUCACCAGCUCCUCAUCGGUUCUCAUAUUAAUUACAUUUGUAACAAGUUAGGUACAUAUGACUUGUAUGCACCAGGUUGAGGAGGAGUGUUAGAAUAGGAAUAUAUAUAUACAAUCCUACUUAGAAUAGGAAUAGGAAUAGUAUUAGGAACAUGAUUAAUAAAUAGUAUCCUACUUGGUAAAGAAUUGUAUUGUAGUGUCUAUAAAUAGGGUCUCUAUGUAACAAUAUAGAUACAACAAUUCAAUAAUAUUUUUCUCCUAUAUUUCUCACAUGGUAUUAGAGCCUCUACGAUCUUGGUAGAGAAUGAAAGAGCUUCCGCUGUCGGCGGGCGACUCUGGCCAAUGAUUAUGUUAGCGAAAGUUGGGUCAUCGUGUAUCUUUCAAGUGACUAUUUUCUCAUAUCAAAUUUUUGUAGCACCGUGCCAUCAUUCCGAUGACUACUUUCUUAUAUCUAAUUUGUGUAGCAUUGUAUCAUCUUUUUGGUGACUACUUUUUCAUAUUUAAUUUGUGUAGCACCGUGCCAUCAUUCAUAUCUUAUUUGUCUAGCACCAUGCAUCCUUUCAGUGACGACUUUCUCAUAUCCGAUUCGUGUAGCACCGUGCCAUCUUUUCGGUGACUACUUUUUUCAUAUCUGAUUUGCGUAGCAUCAUUUUUUCCGGUGACUACUUCCUUAUUUGUGUAGGGUCGUGCCAUUAUUCCGACCCUACCCGUAUAAUUUCUCUUUUUUAGUAGGGUGGUGUCGUUAAUCAGACUCUACCUAUAUAAUUUCUAUUUACCAAUAGGAUCAUGUCAUCAUUCCGACCCUACCAUAUAAUUCUCUUUCUUAGUAGGAUCGUGUAUCAUUCCGACCCAAUCCGACCCGACCCAUAUAAUUUAUUUCUCAAAUUGUGACCACUUUUAGCCAUCAAAUCUAGUACUCUGACACAUGAGCAUGUUCCAAUUUUGAGCACUUUCUGGCGACCAUGCACCGGGAAGAAGUCUAUAUGGAACAACCAUCUAAUUUUGUUGCUCAAGGGAGUUGAGUAGCCUUGUAUGUUGAAUCUAAAACGUUCUUCUCAAGCUUGAUUUGGGAAGUUCAGCACAGUAAUUUAAGAAUUUGGCAUGACUCGUAGUAGAGCUAGUUGCUUUGUGUUUUAUCAACAUUCUGCAUCAAAUCCAAUAUUUCAUGAGAAGACUAAGCACAUUGAGAUUGACUGUCAAUUUUGUCAAGUCGACUGAUCAACUUGCAAAUAUCUCACCAGCUCCUCAUCGGUUCUCAUAUUAAUUACAUUUGUAACAAG